RNAcentral lists this ribosomal RNA (262 nucleotides) under uncultured bacterium. RNAcentral describes it as "partial 16S ribosomal RNA". It matches the Rfam family "Bacterial small subunit ribosomal RNA", at positions 524 to 776 of the family's 1533-position model. The record is from RNAcentral.
GACAGAGGUGCCAAGCGUUAGGCGGAAUCACUGGGCUUAAAGCGUGUGUAGGCGGGUGCCUAAGUACCUUGUGAAAUCCCACGGCUCAACCGUGGAACUGCUGGGUAUACUGGGUGCCUUGGGUCAUCUAGGGGCGUGACCGGAACAAAUGGUGGAGCGGUGAAAUGCGUAGAGAUGAGUGGACGGAACACCGGUGGCGAAGGCGGCAUCCUGGACCGACAUUGACGGCUGAGGCGACGGAAAGCCAGGGGACGCAAACGGG